This 69-nucleotide transfer RNA is filed under the name Amynthas cucullatus. RNAcentral's name for it is "tRNA-Gln". It matches the Rfam family "tRNA". From Rfam's summary of the family: Transfer RNA (tRNA) molecules are approximately 80 nucleotides in length. Their secondary structure includes four short double-helical elements and three loops (D, anti-codon, and T loops). Lineage: Eukaryota; Metazoa; Annelida; Clitellata; Crassiclitellata; Megascolecidae. The record is from RNAcentral.
UAUAGUGUGGUGUAUGGUGCACACAGGCCUUUGAAUCCUGAAGACAGAGUUCAACUCUUUCCACUAUAA